Long non-coding RNA from Oncorhynchus keta (chum salmon), 2509 nucleotides. RefSeq lists it as uncharacterized. NCBI's taxonomy places the organism in Eukaryota, Metazoa, Chordata, Actinopteri, Salmoniformes, Salmonidae. The record is from RefSeq and is a predicted model, not a curated record. The transcript is spliced from 4 exons.
AUCGCAUCAAUACGAGUCAAUAUAAAUCAAUCCGUGCAAUAUGCCUAGUCAGAGCAGACAGGCUUGACAGGAUGCAGGUCAGCUAAUUCCAGUGGUGUUCUAUCGAAAUUCAUUCUAAAAUGUUCACUACAGUGCAUUCUCCCUGUUAAAUCAAUUAAAAUAUCUGUAGAACCAAAUAAGUGCAAGUCUAGGGAACAGAUCAUUCCUAAAGAGUGAUCUUGGUACCUAGGCCAAUUUAUGCAAUGAUCCCGCCUUCCCCAUGGACAUCCUGGUAAAAAUGCAUUAAGACUUUCACAACUGACAAGUACAUACAUAUGCAGGAGAUACUGUGUUGAAGAGUGAACGCAGCUUGCCUUGAUGCGUCGAGCUGAACUACCAUGCUAGAUAUUUAAGCAUAUUUAAGAUAUUUAUUGCUAUUAUAAACUGGUUUAUAUACCACAACCCCCCAGGAGGUGCCUUAUUGCUAUUAUAAACUGGUUUAUAUACCACAACCCCCCAGGAGGUGCCUUAUUGCUAUUAUAAACUGGUUUAUAUACCACAACCCCCCAGGAGGUGCCUUAUUGCUAUUAUAAACUGGUUUAUAUACCACAACCCCCCAGGAGGUGCCUUAUUGCUAUUAUAAACUGGUUUAUAUACCACAACCCCCCAGGAGGUGCCUUAUUGCUAUUAUAAACUGGUUUAUAUACCACAACCCCCCAGGAGGUGCCUUAUUGCUAUUAUAAACUGGUUUAUAUACCACAACCCCCCAGGAGGUGCCUUAUUGCUAUUAUAAACUGGUUUAUAUACCACAACCCCCCAGGAGGUGCCUUAUUGCUAUUAUAAACUGGUUUAUAUACCACAACCUCCCAGGAGGUGCCUUAUUGCUAUUAUAAACUGGUUUAUAUACCACAACCUCCCAGGAGGUGCCUUAUUGCUAUUAUAAACUGGUUUAUAUACCACAACCUCCCAGGAGGUGCCUUAUUGCUAUUAUAAACUGGUUUAUAUACCACAACCUCCCAGGAGGUGCCUUAUUGCUAUUAUAAACUGGUUUAUAUACCACAACCUCCCAGGAGGUGCCUUAUUGCUAUUAUAAACUGGUUUAUAUACCACAACCUCCCAGGAGGUGCCUUAUUGCUAUUAUAAACUGGUUUAUAUACCACAACCUCCCAGGAGGUGCCUUAUUGCUAUUAUAAACUGGUUUAUAUACCACAACCCCCCAGGAGGUGCCUUAUUUCUAUUAUAAACUGGUUUAUAUAACACAACCCCCCCCCCAUGUGCAGAUGGUCUAUGUGAAAAGCACAGUGGCUGAUGCAGGUCGGAGGAAACAGACAGUGUGUUAAAAUAUUCAUCUGUUUCAGUGAGGGAGAGCAGUUUGAUGUUGGAUCGGUCUCUGCCACCUGUCAGACCGGCUGGUGAGUGAAACAUAUCCCUUUAUUGCAGUGAAUGCAAAUUGAUUGACAACAGUGAGCAGAAAUAUAAUGAACAUUAAUAAAAAAGCCAUUUUGAACAAAAGCGCAUUCAUCCACACCUGCCAAAAAAAAGAAAAAAGAGGCAUUGGUAUGCGAAGGAAUGAAGGCUCUCCAAUUGUUCGCAUGGUGCAUAUAAUAAACUAACUCCUAUAUAAAUGUAUUUAUCAAAAAAAAGUAUGCCAAUAAAAUCCUCCUCAAAUAUAAAGAAAAAGGCCCUGAAAACAGUAAAACAAUCUUCUGCUUCCCAAAAUGAUGAAACUGAAAAAAGGAUGCCAUGUAUCUAAUGAGAACAACAUUUUAAACAGUCUUCCCUCCGUGUGUCGACACUUAGCUAUUUGCCGUGGCAAAUCAUACUCCUGAUAAAAAAUAAAAAACUUCAUUCUAUCAGCCCUGUGCCAUUAUGGUUUAAUGGGAAAAUAAACAGCAGAGGUUGGGUUAGACGAAGAGUUGACUUUCUUUCCAUUACUGGACGAGGAAUAACGAGCAUGAAAUAUCACCCUGCGGGCAGAGCUGAAAAUGUUCAGACUAACAGAAGUCAUUAUUCUCAAUUAACGUGUUGUUCUCUGUCUUGUUUUCAGACAAGGAGGAGACGGACGGAGACCGAGGGCCCAAACACAAAAAGAACAUUUUGCAAUCAAGCUUAUGGGGAUUUUGACACUCUAUUAGCAAUCGUUACGCUCUGCUGAGUUUUCGUUAACAACUCGGCGUAACACCACAGCCCAACUGACAAGUCUGAAUUAAAUGCAGUAUUGCAUAAGGGGUCCGUAUUUUUUCCUGGACUGAUUCAUCACGUUACAACCCAAAGAAAUCUAGUUUUCUUUGAAACUCAAAUAAACAGUGCAUUUAGACCAAGAACGAACACCAACUGAAGGACUUGUGUAAGUCAGUGUGUGUGUGUGCUAGCAUGCAUAAGAGUGUACGGUACGCUGUAUGCUCUUGCGCACACAGUUAACCCCUUCCAACUCCGACUCAAAGUAAUACACUUACAAAAAUGCAUGAAUUCAAACCAAAACCAACACAUUUGGAGUCUUCCCUCAACAAUAAACAACUACAAUUCCCAG